UACAGAGGUCUCAACCGUUGUUCGGAUUCAUUGGGCGUAAAGGGUGCGUAGGCGGUCGCGCAAGUCGGAUGUGAAAUCUCGAGGCUCAACCUCGAAACUGCAUUCGAUACUGCGUGGCUAGAGUGCUGGAGGGGAGACUGGAAUUUACGGUGUAGCAGUGAAAUGCGUAGAUAUCGUAAGGAAGACCAGUGGCGAAGGCGAGUCUCUGGACAGCAACUGACGCUGAGGCACGAAAGCGUGGGGAGCAAACAGG
RNAcentral lists this ribosomal RNA (253 nucleotides) under uncultured bacterium. RNAcentral's name for it is "partial 16S ribosomal RNA". It matches the Rfam family "Bacterial small subunit ribosomal RNA", at positions 524 to 776 of the family's 1533-position model. The record is from RNAcentral.